GAUGAACGCUGGCGGCGUGCCUAAUACAUGCAAGUCGAGCGAACGGACGAGAAGCUUGCUUCUCUGAUGUUAGCGGCGGACGGGUGAGUAACACGUGGAUAACCUACCUAUAAGACUGGGAUAACUUCGGGAAACCGUAGCUAAUACCGGAUAAUAUUUUGAACCGCAUGGUUCAAAAGUGAAAGACGGUCUUGCUGUCACUUAUAGAUGGAUCCGCGCUGCAUUAGCUAGUUGGUAAGGUAACGGCUUACCAAGGCAACGAUGCAUAGCCGACCUGAGAGGGUGAUCGGCCACACUGGAACUGAGACACGGUCCAGACUCCUACGGGAGGCAGCAGUAGGGAAUCUUCCGCAAUGGGCGAAAGCCUGACGGAGCAACGCCGCGUGAGUGAUGAAGGUCUUCGGAUCGUAAAACUCUGUUAUCAGGGAAGAACAUAUGUGUAAGUAACUGUGCACAUCUUGACGGUACCUAAUCAGAAAGCCACGGCUAACUACGU
RNAcentral lists this ribosomal RNA (496 nucleotides) under uncultured bacterium. RNAcentral describes it as "partial 16S ribosomal RNA". It matches the Rfam family "Bacterial small subunit ribosomal RNA", at positions 28 to 506 of the family's 1533-position model. The record is from RNAcentral.